CAUAGGUUAAUGAGGCGAACCGGGGGAACUGAAACAUCUAAGUACCCCGAGGAAAAGAAAUCAACCGAGAUUCCCCCAGUAGCGGCGAGCGAACGGGGAGCAGCCCAGAGCCUGAAUCAGUAUGUGUGUUAGUGGAAGCGUCUGGAAAGGCGCGCGAUACAGGGUGACAGCCCCGUACACAAAAAUGCACAUGCUGUGAGCUCGAUGAGUAGGGCGGGACACGUGGUAUCCUGUCUGAAUAUGGGGGGACCAUCCUCCAAGGCUAAAUACUCCUGACUGACCGAUAGUGAACCAGUACCGUGAGGGAAAGGCGAAAAGAACCCCGGCGAGGGGAGUGAAAAAGAACCUGAAACCGUGUACGUACAAGCAGUGGGAGCUCGCUUAGGCGUGUGACUGCGUACCUUUUGUAUAAUGGGUCAGCGACUUAUAUUCUGUAGCAAGGUUAACCGAAUAGGGGAGCCGAAGGGAAACCGAGUCUUAACUGGGCGUUAAGUUGCAGGGUAUAGACCCGAAACCCGGUGAUCUAGCCAUGGGCAGGUUGAAGGUUGGGUAACACUAACUGGAGGACCGAACCGACUAAUGUUGAAAAAUUAGCGGAUGACUUGUGGCUGGGGGUGAAAGGCCAAUCAAACCGGGAGAUAGCUGGUUCUCCCCGAAAGCUAUUUAGGUAGCGCCUCGUGAAUUCAUCUCCGGGGGUAGAGCACUGUUUCGGCAAGGGGGUCAUCCCGACUUACCAACCCGAUGCAAACUGCGAAUACCGGAGAAUGUUAUCACGGGAGACACACGGCGGGUGCUAACGUCCGUCGUGAAGAGGGAAACAACCCAGACCGCCAGCUAAGGUCCCAAAGUCAUGGUUAAGUGGGAAACGAUGUGGGAAGGCCCAGACAGCCAGGAUGUUGGCUUAGAAGCAGCCAUCAUUUAAAGAAAGCGUAAUAGCUCACUGGUCGAGUCGGCCUGCGCGGAAGAUGUAACGGGGCUAAACCAUGCACCGAAGCUGCGGCAGCGACGCUUAUGCGUUGUUGGGUAGGGGAGCGUUCUGUAAGCCUGCGAAGGUGUGCUGUGAGGCAUGCUGGAGGUAUCAGAAGUGCGAAUGCUGACAUAAGUAACGAUAAAGCGGGUGAAAAGCCCGCUCGCCGGAAGACCAAGGGUUCCUGUCCAACGUUAAUCGGGGCAGGGUGAGUCGACCCCUAAGGCGAGGCCGAAAGGCGUAGUCGAUGGGAAACAGGUUAAUAUUCCUGUACUUGGUGUUACUGCGAAGGGGGGACGGAGAAGGCUAUGUUGGCCGGGCGACGGUUGUCCCGGUUUAAGCGUGUAGGCUGGUUUUCCAGGCAAAUCCGGAAAAUCAAGGCUGAGGCGUGAUGACGAGGCACUACGGUGCUGAAGCAACAAAUGCCCUGCUUCCAGGAAAAGCCUCUAAGCAUCAGGUAACAUCAAAUCGUACCCCAAACCGACACAGGUGGUCAGGUAGAGAAUACCAAGGCGCUUGAGAGAACUCGGGUGAAGGAACUAGGCAAAAUGGUGCCGUAACUUCGGGAGAAGGCACGCUGAUAUGUAGGUGAAGUCCCUCGCGGAUGGAGCUGAAAUCAGUCGAAGAUACCAGCUGGCUGCAACUGUUUAUUAAAAACACAGCACUGUGCAAACACGAAAGUGGACGUAUACGGUGUGACGCCUGCCCGGUGCCGGAAGGUUAAUUGAUGGGGUUAGCGCAAGCGAAGCUCUUGAUCGAAGCCCCGGUAAACGGCGGCCGUAACUAUAACGGUCCUAAGGUAGCGAAAUUCCUUGUCGGGUAAGUUCCGACCUGCACGAAUGGCGUAAUGAUGGCCAGGCUGUCUCCACCCGAGACUCAGUGAAAUUGAACUCGCUGUGAAGAUGCAGUGUACCCGCGGCAAGACGGAAAGACCCCGUGAACCUUUACUAUAGCUUGACACUGAACAUUGAGCCUUGAUGUGUAGGAUAGGUGGGAGGCUUUGAAGUGUGGACGCCAGUCUGCAUGGAGCCGACCUUGAAAUACCACCCUUUAAUGUUUGAUGUUCUAACGUUGACCCGUAAUCCGGGUUGCGGACAGUGUCUGGUGGGUAGUUUGACUGGGGCGGUCUCCUCCUAAAGAGUAACGGAGGAGCACGAAGGUUGGCUAAUCCUGGUCGGACAUCAGGAGGUUAGUGCAAUGGCAUAAGCCAGCUUGACUGCGAGCGUGACGGCGCGAGCAGGUGCGAAAGCAGGUCAUAGUGAUCCGGUGGUUCUGAAUGGAAGGGCCAUCGCUCAACGGAUAAAAGGUACUCCGGGGAUAACAGGCUGAUACCGCCCAAGAGUUCAUAUCGACGGCGGUGUUUGGCACCUCGAUGUCGGCUCAUCACAUCCUGGGGCUGAAGUAGGUCCCAAGGGUAUGGCUGUUCGCCAUUUAAAGUGGUACGCGAGCUGGGUUUAGAACGUCGUGAGACAGUUCGGUCCCUAUCUGCCGUGGGCGCUGGAGAACUGAGGGGGGCUGCUCCUAGUACGAGAGGACCGGAGUGGACGCAUCACUGGUGUUCGGGUUGUCAUGCCAAUGGCACUGCCCGGUAGCUAAAUGCGGAAGAGAUAAGUGCUGAAAGCAUCUAAGCACGAAACUUGCCCCGAGAUGAGUUCUCCCUGACUCCUUGAGAGUCCUGAAGGAACGUUGAAGACGACGACGUUGAUAGGCCGGGUGUGUAAGCGCAGCGAUGCGUUGAGCUAACCGGUACUAAUGAACCGU
Molecule: ribosomal RNA, 2728 nt
Filed under: Escherichia coli
Lineage: Bacteria; Pseudomonadati; Pseudomonadota; Gammaproteobacteria; Enterobacterales; Enterobacteriaceae
Description: partial 23S ribosomal RNA
Rfam family: Bacterial large subunit ribosomal RNA
Source: RNAcentral